CAUUAUAACUGAAGUUGAACUGUUUAUUUAAAUUAAACUUUUUAAAGCAUUAAACCAAAUAUAGGGAAACAUAAGAACAAUGUUAAAGGGGUAAUGCAUGGAGAAUCAAAAUGUUCUUGAUAUUUGCAUUUAUUUUUAAUCUUACAGCAUGUUUGUAAUAUACCAGUGAUUAACUAUAUUAAACCUACUUAAGCUGCAGCGUCUUUUGUAACAGACAGGUAAUACUAGCACUUUUAAAACUAUGUUCUGAAAAUUAAGCAAGCAAAAGCAAUCUCCACACUAAAACACACUGUGCAAUUGUUGUGUUUGUGUUAUUUUAAACAUUUCAAACUCUAAAAACUUCUGU
Molecule: long non-coding RNA, 346 nt
Organism: Cyprinus carpio carpio
Lineage: Eukaryota; Metazoa; Chordata; Actinopteri; Cypriniformes; Cyprinidae
Source: Ensembl